AAAAAACGAUGGUACAAGCAUUUGUCAAGCAGUUGGGAAUAUUGAACAGCAGCUAGAACUUCAGGAGAAGAAACAUGUUGGGCAGUAUCCGUUACUCACUCUUGUUCAUUUCUUUUGUUUUAGUGUCGUCGUUCUUCCUAACAUCAGAUGCAAUCUCCUGCAGCUGUAAUGCUCCAGUCGGAGGGAGAUGCCGGAGGAGGUGUCAAGGACGUAAAUAAGGAGUUUGUCCAAGAAAAUAAUGUCCUAACAUGGCGAAGAACAUAAGGACUACUAACUGUACUGAGCACUCAAUGUCAUGUGAGAAUAAAUUAUUUACAAAAACAUAAAACAUAUAAUUUGAUCUACCGUACACAACCCAUUCGA
Molecule: long non-coding RNA, 363 nt
Organism: Nomia melanderi (Alkali bee)
Lineage: Eukaryota; Metazoa; Arthropoda; Insecta; Hymenoptera; Halictidae
Source: RefSeq, a predicted model, not a curated record